RNAcentral lists this ribosomal RNA (322 nucleotides) under uncultured marine eukaryote. RNAcentral describes it as "bacterial SSU rRNA". The record is from RNAcentral.
GUUAAAAAGCUCGUAGUUGGAUCAAGAGUUCCACAGUGCACGGUGGCCCUGGUUGUCGAGGUGGAUCCGUUCACCGAGACGCCAGUGGAUCAACCCUGUGCGCCAAACUGUGGUCUCUAAUCGACCGAAGCGGUUCCCUGUGAGUAGGCUCCUUCAUUGGGGCUGAAAGCGAUUACGCAUCAACCAUAUGCAUACGGGACGUCGGUCAAUGUUACUGUGAACAAACCAGCGUGUCCAAAACAGGCUUUCGCCUGAAUGUUCGAGCAUGGAAUAACAAGGGAUCGAUUCUCUCGGUUCUUUUUGUUGGUUUUUAACCCGAAAA